GCCGGGCAUGGUGGCGCAUGCCUGUAAUCCCAGCUACUUGGGAGGCUGAGGCAGGAGAAUCGCUUGAACCCGGGAGGCAGAGGUUGCAGUGAGCUGAGAUUGUGCCACUGCACUCAAGCCUGGGUGACAGAGCGAGACUCCUUCUCCA
Molecule: small RNA, 148 nt
Filed under: Macaca fascicularis (crab-eating macaque)
Lineage: Eukaryota; Metazoa; Chordata; Mammalia; Primates; Cercopithecidae
Description: Metazoan signal recognition particle RNA (ENSMFAG00000049432.1)
Source: Rfam by way of RNAcentral